AUGGUAAGCCAGGUCAUGUACUCUGUGGAUUCUGAUGCAGAAAGUAGAGGAUCCUCUCCAACUGAAUCUCUCCAAACAUCUGAACCCACUAUAUCUGAUGUAGGCAAUCUAUUGAGUGGCAAGUCCUCCCCUCGGCUGUCUCCUUCUGGCACCAUUAUGGCAACAAGCGAGACCUCCAAUGCAGCACAAAUCUUGAAGGCCAACAUUGAUGGAGAGGAAGUGGAUACCACCAGUCAUUCUGGUGUAGCUCAAAACAUUGUCAAGGACGAUAUGUCAACCAGCCCAGACAUGGUCAAAGAUGUCACACUUCCAACCCCAUCCUCUGAUAACUUGGGCAGUGAUGAUGACGUCACCGGCCUCAUCAGCAUGUUAGUAAUGAGAAUUCUAACAGAAAUCCAAACCCCAGCAGAAGAUUACCCAGUUGACGUCACACGCAAGUCACAAGACCUUAUCCCUAAAGUUAUGGAGGUCUUCUGUGCAUGGUCAGGCUGCUCUGAGACACAAGCCUAUCCAGAGAACUUGAGGAUUCAUAAAGUCUACAGAGUCGUCUAUAAAAAUCUGUUGGAGGAGUUUGGCUCGGAGAAAAUCCUCCAACAGGCCGUGACGACUCAGGACUCUUCAUUUGAUAGGAUUCUUGUCAAGUCUUUGAGUGAAGCGCUUCUCCACAGAUGUAAUGAGGCAUUGAGGGCAGCCUCAAGAACAUCAGUCAAAACCACCGGGCCUAAGGCUCUUCCACUGGCUGAGGAUGUGAGGGCUAGCAGCGGGAAACUAUCUUUUCUACAAAGGCUGGUCAGGCUGACAAGCAACUUAAAGCUAUUCAAGAAGGGGAACAAGAAGGAUUCCCACCGCUCUGAAUCAGAACAAGUACAGACCACUGCUGAAGAUGGCAUGCUGCCCAGCAUAGUGCCACAUGCUGCUAUGUCUGCACUGCCAAAGGAUCUCCCCGCCAGCUCCCAACAGGAGACGCCUCACAAACGUCCACUUCUCGUCAGGAUGUUUUCUGCCAUCUCCAAAGGCCUGUUCAAGCCCUUCAAACAGUCCUUAAAGACCAAGUAA
RNAcentral lists this long non-coding RNA (1056 nucleotides) under Oncorhynchus mykiss (rainbow trout). RNAcentral describes it as "lncRNA (ENSOMYG00000062384.1)". The record is from RNAcentral. Lineage: Eukaryota; Metazoa; Chordata; Actinopteri; Salmoniformes; Salmonidae.